This is a long non-coding RNA of Patiria miniata (bat star), 2454 nucleotides long. RefSeq lists it as uncharacterized. The record is from RefSeq and is a predicted model, not a curated record. Lineage: Eukaryota; Metazoa; Echinodermata; Asteroidea; Valvatida; Asterinidae. The transcript has 2 exons.
UCCCCAGGGUGUCGAGCAGCAGUACGCACCCACCAUGUACCAUACAUUACAGAAGUGCAGACGACAUAAUGUUUACCGCGGCAUCCAAGAUGGCGGACACUUUGCAUCGCUUCACGCGAUGAACACGGACACAUGACGGAUGUAGUGGGUUUUCGUCGACGACCUCCGACGCCAAAAAGAAGUCUAUGCGAAAGAGUGCAGGAUAUUAUGGACAGUGGUCAAGACGGCUACAUCAAUGAUCCAGAAGGAAAAGCAACAGAAACUCAACUGAAAGAAAGCAACUUUAGUCUUGUCUGAUAAGUGCUGCAUGCGUUCCACAGCCCAUGCCAAGUAUGGACUGAAAUUCUGGCUGAACUACCAGAUCUUAGCUCCAUGAUACAAGUAUGUAGACAGCAGCUGGCAACUAGUAGCUGCAGCUCCCUGAAUACCUUGUAAAAUGGCAAAUGCACUGUUAAAGUUAUAGAGAUUUUUUUAUAAGACCCCUGAAAAUCCUCAAAUACAUGUAUGAGAGAAAGUUCACUUGCAAUACUGAUGAGCAUCUAUGCAGAGGAUUCAAUUAGUUUGGAACUUGCUGCAACCCCUGUGUAGGUUGUCAUUGAGGAUUCUGUCUGAGGACUUAUUGAGGUGAACAGUCUGUCAAGUGUGAGAGAGGUGACACUAAAGGAAGUGAUUCUAGCCAAAAAGGACUGCAACUUUCCUCUGCAACUGAAGGAAUCAAAACCCCUGACGAAGGAGAAAUCGAGUUUUACCAAGUCAGUGAAGAUGCAGAUGGCAGAUGGCAGUUGUAGGAGUGCCUUGUUGUGACCUUCGAAUUUUCACCAAUGCCACAGCGAUGUGCUCAUAGUACAAAAAUGUACAUGUUUCAUUCAUUGAGGCAUUUUUGAAACCAUUGAGGAUUCUUCAAUUUCAUAAAGGUCAAUGUUUUUCAUAAAGGUCAAUGUUUUUCAUAAAGGUCAAUGUUUCACCAUAUAGCCCAGGGUUUGCAAUUUUUAUCAAGACACCUCGCACAAAUUUUAUUUGGCAAAACUAGUUAAUUGGUCUUGUCAUAAAUGUGAUUGCUCUAGUUCAAAGAGUAAAAGUGCAUGUACAUGUUAUUAAAAUUAUAUUUUUGACAUUAAAAUUUUUGUCAACAAAUUGCAGACUUUUUAGUCAUCUUUAAAAAUCUAUACUUUUCUAUGAAUAGUUAGUGCAAUUUUAGGUGAAAUACAUUAUCUACUAAGCAAUUUGUUAUCUCCUGAGCUAAAUGCGUCAUUAAGAAUAGGAGCAACUUGACAUGUUUCUGUACAAGGAUUGGAUGUAUUUCAUCAAGUUUGGUUUUCCAACUUCAUACAGACGUCACUUGAGACCCUGUAUACAACUUUGGGAGUGGUCUGAACAUUUCUGUUUUCUCACAAAAUUCUUCAAUGUUUUCCCUGCUAUAUUUGACUUUUUACGACAUGUUAUCGCUUUCUGAUGGCUGGUAGGUCAUUGCAAGGAAAAAUUAUUGACGUCCUAUAUGCAAUUCUUUCCUACAUGUUCUUGUUAUGUUUAUUUAGUAGAAGGAUUUUUUAAACAACAUUUUAAGGUUUCCUUCCACUCUUGAGUUUUAAUUUAUUGCAUUGUACUAGACUGGGGCAAGCAUUAUUUGUGUGUAACUGAAAGAAAUUGCCUGAAAAAGUACAAUUCACAUUUCACAAGUUAAUUAAAACCACUGCUUUAAUAUCUCAUCCAAAAAAAAAAACACAUUGUAAUGUUAAAUUAACAGUUAUAUUAAUAUCACUUGUGUUGUAAACAUUUUUUUGAGAAGUACACAAUGUAUACAAUUGUGCUUUUCAAAAUAUCAUGUAUGUACACAAGUUAACCAUGCUCAACCUGUAACACUAUAAUAGCAUUUCAUGAGAUUACACAAACAUUUGAACAAAAUGAACUAAAGGUGUACCAUUCUAAAUUUUGUGCAAACUAUGUGGCAUAUGUGAACCUUGGUCACUGUUUUUCUAGUGUUCUGAUGGUCCCCAUGAAUAUCCUGAUAUCUGUUUGACAAAGGUGGGGGACAGGGGUGGGGGCGGAGGCACUGGAGGAUGGAACAUUUGGUGAAUUGGGUGGGGGUGAGGGGGGGGGGAAGUGUGCAGUUUAAACUUGUGAUUGGCUCCUAACACAACUCUCUGUAAAAUUUACAUGAAUCUGCCAAAGAUUAAAGACGACAAUGCUGUGCUGGAGAUCCAGAAACUUUACUGUGUAAUACAACUUCUCCUGAUACAGUUUUGUAGUGGUACAUAUGAUGUCAGGCACAGAUUGACUACAAUAAAAUAGAAAAUAAAAUGUAUGUAUUUGUUACAAGAAAUUACCCAGUGUUUGUGUAACCUUAUUGUAACAGAAUUAGCUCAUUACAUAUCACUUACAUGUUCCAAACACAUGCACACACAUGUCCAAAGCAAUGUUUAUGUAAAUACACAUGUAGGCCCCUACAAUGUACAU